ACAGAUGCUUUUACAGCUCGCCUUGGCGGGAAGAUCUGGCACAAAUGAAGUAUCUAUAAGGAGCAGCAGAGUCAAGGGUCUUCAUGUUGCAGAACUCACGGAGUUGGAUUCUAUGUGAAUUGUAAAUCGGGUACAAGGUGCAUAAUGCCCUAUUUACCU
Long non-coding RNA from Homo sapiens (human), 159 nucleotides. The record is from Ensembl. NCBI's taxonomy places the organism in Eukaryota, Metazoa, Chordata, Mammalia, Primates, Hominidae.